GUGCCAGCCGCCGCGGUAACACGGAGGGUGCAAGCGUUAUUCGGAAUUACUGGGCGUAAAGCGCGCGUAGGUUGCGUGGUAAGUCAGACGUGAAAGCCCUCGGCUCAACCGAGGAACCGCAUUUGAAACUGCUAUGCUUGAGUACGACAGAGGGUGGCGGAAUUCCCGGUGUAGGGGUGAAAUCCGUAGAUAUCGGGAGGAACACCAGUGGCGAAGGCGGCCACCUGGGUCGAUACUGACGCUGAGGCGCGAAAGCGGGGGUAGCAAACAGGAUUAGAUACCCGGGUAGUCC
This 292-nucleotide ribosomal RNA is filed under the name uncultured bacterium. RNAcentral's name for it is "partial 16S ribosomal RNA". It matches the Rfam family "Bacterial small subunit ribosomal RNA", at positions 505 to 796 of the family's 1533-position model. The record is from RNAcentral.